Long non-coding RNA from Neodiprion virginianus, 1032 nucleotides. RefSeq lists it as uncharacterized. Lineage: Eukaryota; Metazoa; Arthropoda; Insecta; Hymenoptera; Diprionidae. The transcript has 3 exons. The record is from RefSeq and is a predicted model, not a curated record.
UCCGAUCAACAAUAAAAUAAGGACCUUCCCAAUUACUCUGGAAUUCGGGACAAUGCCCUUGUUGUCGACGAGGUUGAAAUAACCAAACGGAAUCUCCCUUUUCAAAUUUUAAAUUUCUAGAUCUGAUGUCAUAACGAUCCUUAGUCUUAUCGGAGGCCAUACGAAUUCUUUCCCUAGCAAAUUCAUGAACCUCGUCCAAUUUUUGACGGAAAACCGAAUUAAAAAUCACCUGGGACGAAGCCACGGAAGGAUUGACGCCCUUUUCUAAAUCUAACGGAAGUCGAAGAUCCCGACCUGUCAACAUCAUAGCUGGAGAAAAACCGGUAGUGUCGUGAAUUGCAGAGCGAUACGAUAAAAGAAAUAAGGGAAUCCACUCAUCCCAAUCUUUCUGAUCCUGAUCAACGAAAGAAGAAAGAUAACGAAGAAGCGUCCUAUUCAAUCUUUCUAUCAUUCCAUUAGACUGCGGAUGCAAAGCGGUGAGGAGCUCCGUAACGAUAAACGAAUUCACGAACGAAAGCUCGAGCAACGGUGCUAGCUUCUUGAUUCGGAAUUGGGACUACUUCUAACCACUUUGUAAAAUAAUCUGCUAUCACCAGGGCAUACCGAUAUCCUGACCUAGAAGGAGGAAGAGGGCCUAGGAUAUCCAUUGCGACUCUUUCAAAUGGAGCUCCUACGUUAUAUAUUUGAAGAGAACUCUUCCCUUUUUCACGAGGUCCUUUCUUGGCUAAACAAACCGUUCAAUUUCUGCACUAAUUUUCAACGUCAGCUCGGCAGAACCAGAAGCUGCAAACGUACCGACCUGGAGUCAGGUGAUUCCCAUUUGCUAUAAAGCAACUGAUCGAGGAGAAACAAGGAGUCCCACUGCGUCCAGUAAAUUUUCAAAGACUGACUCAUAGAAGAUACUUCUUCCCACUGAGGCCAGACUCCUCAGGAUUUCCAAUUCCGAACUAGGAGGAGAUCUGAAUCUUUCUCCUGGGCGAUGAUCCAGUCUUCUUUAUUUUCAACGAGAGAAAUUUGACGAACGUUAAGCGA